CCCUGUAGAAUUCAAUGGGUGGAUAAGAAGCAAUGGACAAAAACUGAAGUGUGAAAAAUUCUGCUUCAGCACAAGAAAAAAAAAGUUUACAAUGAGUUGUUCUAAUGCUGAAUUUUGUCCAAAGAUGUUUUGGAGUCUCAUGCUUGGAGACAUUCAAAAUACACUGCAGAAAACCCUGGCCAAUGGUCUUGCUUCACCUUUCUUGGAGCAGGGAUUCAGACUGGAAAAACCUCUGGAAAUCCCUCCCAGCCUCAGCCAUUCUGUGACCCUGUGGAGUCAGCAGCUCCUCUGCUUGACAGAUGCCUGCAAAAUGUCAUCACACCUUUGUGUGGACCUGUUUGGGUCUCUAAGAGAGAAGGUUUCAGCCUCUCAGGAGCAAAGAUUUACAUCCAAGGAGUCCUCUUGGCCCUGCACCAACGAUUAAAGCCUGCAAAGGGCUGCAAACAGGUGAGUUGUCCCACUCUUUAAAAGUCUGCUUGUCUGUUUUGAUUUUCAAAUGUACUGAUUGUGUAAAAACAACGUUCUUUGUGUCACAAAGAAGCGUGGCACGUCCUGGAGAAGCUGUUAGGAGAAGGAAAUGUUUGUCCUGUAAGUGCAGAGCCCGCCACAGAGGAGUUAACUGAGUCUCUGCUGGUGGGGGAUGUCGUGUGUGGCGUUGCUGCCGAGCCGGGAUGUUCCUUGUGUGGAAAUUCUCUAAAGCCAUCAGUUCUCACUGCUCUUCUGCACAGGCAGCUUGUAAUUGUCUCAUAGGUCUUCCUACAGAGCUAACUUAAAUAAUGGUUUAGUUGAAGCAUAUUAUGAGUAAAUAAAUAAAUCAAUUCUAAGUACA
This 829-nucleotide long non-coding RNA is filed under the name Parus major (Great Tit). RNAcentral's name for it is "lncRNA (ENSPMJG00000002394.1)". The record is from RNAcentral. Lineage: Eukaryota; Metazoa; Chordata; Aves; Passeriformes; Paridae.